Long non-coding RNA from Bos grunniens (domestic yak), 1707 nucleotides. The record is from Ensembl. NCBI's taxonomy places the organism in Eukaryota, Metazoa, Chordata, Mammalia, Artiodactyla, Bovidae.
AUGCCAAGCCUCUCUAUAGUCAUUUAUUACAACUCCGUUUUUAAUAUAUUUCAUGAAUACACAUAUUCCAUAAAGCAAAAUACAUACACACGGUCUGUAUGUUACAUCAGUUUUUUUUGUUGUUGUUGUUACAUCAGUUUUAAGCCUGUGACAUUUAAGGCCUGUCUUCGGGAGGACGAGAUCAGUCUCUCUACCAGUUCAUUUAGAAUUGACGAACUCUGUCGUCACAGCCCAGCCACUGAGUCCUCUCUUCUAAGGUUCGAUCCAGGAAGCAGGGGAUUUGAAGGGUUUGGGUGCAAUUUCCGUCACAUUACAAGAGCCUUCAGAGUCACUGCUUUGGAGCUCAGAGUCUUAGAGAUUUCAGUUCCACGACUUCUGCUCCCCGCCUCCCCCAGAAGUUAAUGAUCUGUAAGGUAAGUUUCUGAAAGUUCUAGCAAAGGCUUAGUAUUUAAAGGAAACCUGCCCUCAGCCUGUUUAACAUGCAAAUAUUCACCUUCAGUAUACUCAUUAAAUUUGUUAUUUUGCAAUAAACAAGGGGAUGAAGUGUCACAGCUAUACAGAGGCUUUAACAGGCACCUGUAGGAGACGUAAGAGACACGAGUUUGAUCCCUGGGUCGGGAAGAUCCCCUGGGGAAGGAAAUGACACCCACUCCAGUAUUCUCGCUGGGAGAAUCCCAUGGACAGAGGAGCCUGAUGGGCUACAGUCCAUGGGUAGCAGAGAAGUUGACAUGACUGAGUGUCUGAGCACACAGCACAUAGGUCCUAAAAACACCAUAAGCCGAUCCUUAGAAUGCUCUUAAAUGAUCGUGGCACUCGCAUGUCUCAGGGCAUGUCCCAUUCAUCUGGAUUCUGUUUGGCUCAGCAAAUAUUUCUUGAGCUCCUACUGUGUGCCAGGCUGGGGAGACAAAAUGUAGUACCCACCCUCCACCCCAUAAUUCCCACAGCAAGCAGUUCCUCCAACAGGGACUUACCAUUCUGUGCUGUAGUACUGAUCACUUCAUAAUACAGUAACUGGUACCAUUUAUGGAGGGCAUUCUAUCACCUGGCAUUGCUGCAGCCUUAAGAGAUGGAUACUAUUUCCUGUCUUCUUUGUACAGAUGAGGAAACUGUAGUUAGGUGAUCUGUCCCAGGUCGCAGAGCUGAUAAGUCCAAGACCCUCUCCAUUAACCACCCAGAACAAUGCUGUUGCCAGCAUUCCGCAUAUUCAACAUGAAAAGAUUUUGUUUAAAAACAUAAAAAAAAAAUUGUGAAGUACUGUGAUAGUCGGAUUAUGUUGCUGCUAUGGUCCGGCCCUUCCUUUCUGGAUCAUCUCUGCCUCCUGCUUCUGCCAGCCCAGAUAAAAUCCUGUAAACCUCGAAAGACUCCUUCCUCACCUCCGUGCACAAAGUCAACCCUACAAACAAUACUAUUACUAUUAUUGGGGACCUGUUAUGAGCCAGAGUCUGAACCCAGUUCUGUCCAGGUCCAAGACACUCUGCCUUGCUUCUUCCUUUCAGAGUCACUGCUUUGGAGCUCAGAGUCUUAGAGAUUUCAGUUCCACGACUUCUGCUCCCCGCCUCCCCCAGAAGUUAAUGAUCUGUAAGGUAAGUUUCUGAAAGUUCUAGCAAAGGCUUAGUAUUUAAAGGAAACCUGCCCUCAGCCUGUUUAACAUGCAAAUAUUCACCUUCAGUAUACUCAUUAAAUUUGUUAUUUUGCAAUAAACAAGGG